AUGUCAUAACUACAGUUGUUGGUUGGAUUUAAAGCUCGGAUCAGUUGAACCUUAUUGCAAUGAAGCAUUUUUCUUCCCAGUGUUGGAGGAACAUAGUAAAUACAUUGUAGAUAGAUAAUUGCUGUUGCAAUGUUUAGCUUGCUGGUUAAUACUACAAGGAUGAGGCAUUUUUAAUGCACUGGAGUACUGGACAGUUUUUAAUAGUAAUUUAGUCAAUUCUGGUCAUGCUUCACCUAGGCUUGCUCAUUAGCUUGAGUUUGAAUUGUUUUAUAGGGUUUUCGUGGUUUGAUACUGCAUAUGACCAGCUAAAUAAUUGACAUAGGAUCAAUUUGGGAAACAGGAAAACUAAGUUCAUUUUUUUUAUGAUGAUUUGGGCUUAAAUAUUAGGAGCAUUUUUGGUUGAAAGAAUAGUAGAUUGUAGUACAUGCUAUCAAAUGAUAAUUAAGAAAUUUAUCCUAUUGCUCACACACUAUUACAGUAAUACUGAACUGAACCAGACCUGCAUUAAACAUCUUAGUUAGGGGUUGUAAUUGAGCAGGGUCAAUUCAAUAAUGUAAGGCUUGAGCUCAAAUCAACUAAAACAUUCGAGGCUCGAAAUCUAACUUGACUUGAUUACAUUUAUAAGAUAAUUUAACAUGGCUCGACCUGAUUUAAUUAUCACUUUAAAUUUAGAAUUUUGUUAAUUUCAAAUUAAAACUUGAAUAUCCUCGAGUAAGCUCAAGUUCGAGCUUGAAUUGGCAUUUCUGUAAAAUAUUUAACGUAAAAUGAUAUAUACAUAUAUAUAUGCGCUUGCACGUACACACACAUCGAUUAA
Molecule: unclassified non-coding RNA, 814 nt
Filed under: Hevea brasiliensis (rubber tree)
Lineage: Eukaryota; Viridiplantae; Streptophyta; Magnoliopsida; Malpighiales; Euphorbiaceae
Source: RNAcentral